RNAcentral lists this ribosomal RNA (427 nucleotides) under uncultured bacterium. RNAcentral's name for it is "bacterial SSU rRNA". It matches the Rfam family "Bacterial small subunit ribosomal RNA", at positions 355 to 774 of the family's 1533-position model. The record is from RNAcentral.
UAGGGAAUAUUGGACAAUGGGCGCAAGCCUGAUCCAGCCAUGCCGCGUGAGUGAAGAAGGCCCUCGGGUUGUAAAGCUCUUUUGUCCGGAAAGAAAAGCAUCGGGUUAAUACCCCGGUGUUCUGACGGUACCGGAAGAAUAAGCACCGGCUAACUUCGUGCCAGCAGCCGCGGUAAUACGAAGGGUGCAAGCGUUACUCGGAAUUACUGGGCGUAAAGCGUGCGUAGGUGGUUCGUUAAGUCUGAUGCGAAAGCCCUGGGCUCAACCUGGGAAUGGCAUUGGAAACUGGGCAGCUAGAGUGCGGUAGAGGGUAGUGGAAUUCCCGGUGUAGCAGUGAAAUGCGUAGAGAUCGGGAGGAACAUCUGUGGCGAAGGCGACUGCCUGGACCAGCACUGGCACUGAGGCACGAAAGCGUGGGGAGCAAACA